UACAGAGGGGGCAAGCGUUGUUCGGAAUUACUGGGCGUAAAGGGCGCGUAGGCGGCCCGCUAAGUCGAACGUGAAAUCCCCGAGCUCAACUCGGGAACUGCGUCCGAUACUGGCGGGCUUGAAUCCGGGAGAGGGAUGCGGAAUUCCCGGUGUAGCAGUGAAAUGCGUAGAGAUCGGGAGGAACAUCAGUUGCGAAGGCGGCUCUCUGGACCAGCACUGACACUGAGGCACGAAAGCGUGGGGAGCAAACAGG
This 253-nucleotide ribosomal RNA is filed under the name uncultured bacterium. Its description in RNAcentral is "partial 16S ribosomal RNA". It matches the Rfam family "Bacterial small subunit ribosomal RNA", at positions 524 to 776 of the family's 1533-position model. The record is from RNAcentral.